CACGGGGGGAGCAAGCGUUGUCCGGAAUCACUGGGCGUAAAGGGCGUGUAGGCGGUCAGGUAAGUGGAAUGUGAAAUCCCUCGGCUCACCCGAGGACCUGCAUCCCAAACUGCCUGGCUUGAGUAUGGGAGAGGAUGAGGGAAUUCCUGGUGUAGCGGUGAAAUGCGUAGAUAUCAGGAGGAACACCGGUGGCGAAGGCGCUCAUCUGGCCCAAUACUGACGCUGAAGCGCGAAAGCUAGGGGAGCAAACGGG
Molecule: ribosomal RNA, 253 nt
Filed under: uncultured bacterium
Lineage: Bacteria
Description: partial 16S ribosomal RNA
Rfam family: Bacterial small subunit ribosomal RNA
Source: RNAcentral